RNAcentral lists this ribosomal RNA (392 nucleotides) under uncultured bacterium. RNAcentral's name for it is "partial 16S ribosomal RNA". It matches the Rfam family "Bacterial small subunit ribosomal RNA", at positions 523 to 918 of the family's 1533-position model. The record is from RNAcentral.
AUACGGAGGAUCCGAGCGUUAUCCGGAUUUAUUGGGUUUAAAGGGUGCGCAGGCGGCCAUUUAAGUCAGCGGUUAAAUCGUGGGGCUCAACCCCAUUCUGCCGUUGAUACUGGGUGGCUUGAUUGCGGUCGAGGUUGGCGGAAUUCGUUGUGUAGCGGUGAAAUGCAUAGAUAUGACGAAGAACACCGAUUGCGUAGGCUGCUGACCAGACCGCAAAUGACGCGCCUUCACGAAAGUGCGUGGAUCGAACAGGAUUAAAUUCCCUGGUAGUCCGCACACUAAACGAUGAAUAAUUGGUUUCGGCGAUAUAAUGUCGGAGGCAAAGCGCACGCGAUAAGUGAUCAACCUGGGCACUCCGCCGGCAACGGUGAAGCUCAAAGGAAUUGACGGUG